This 253-nucleotide ribosomal RNA is filed under the name uncultured prokaryote. Its description in RNAcentral is "partial 16S ribosomal RNA". It matches the Rfam family "Bacterial small subunit ribosomal RNA", at positions 525 to 777 of the family's 1533-position model. The record is from RNAcentral.
ACGUAGGCAGCGAGCGUUGUUCGGAGUUACUGGGCGUAAAGGGUGUGUAGGCGGUGGCUUAAGUUUGGUGUGAAAUCUCCCGGCUCAACUGGGAGGGUGCGCCGAAUACUGAGUUGCUCGAGUGCGGGAGAGGAGAGUGGAAUUCCUGGUGUAGCGGUGAAAUGCGUAGAUAUCAGGAGGAACACCGGUGGUGUAGACGGCUCUCUGGACCGUAACUGACGCUGAAACACGAAAGCGUGGGUAGCAAACAGGA